This 501-nucleotide ribosomal RNA is filed under the name uncultured Glomeromycotina. RNAcentral's name for it is "partial small subunit ribosomal RNA". It matches the Rfam family "Eukaryotic small subunit ribosomal RNA", at positions 591 to 1092 of the family's 1831-position model. The record is from RNAcentral. Lineage: Eukaryota; Fungi; Glomeromycota.
CCAAUAGCGUAUAUUAAAGUUGUUGCAGUUAAAAAGCUCGUAGUUGAAUUUCGGGAUCGACGGGUCGGUCGCGCCUCCGGUGUGUACUGGCCCUGUCGGUUUCUCCCUUCUGACAAACUGCGAUGUCAUUAAUUUGGUGUCGUAGGGAAUCAGGACUGUUACUUUGAAAAAAUUAGAGUGUUUAAAGCAGGCACACGCUUGAAUACAUUAGCAUGGAAUAAUGAAAUAGGACGUUUUGAUCUUAUUUUGUUGGUUUCUAAGAUCGACGUAAUGAUUAAUAGGGAUAGUUGGGGGCAUUAGUAUUCAAUUGUCAGAGGUGAAAUUCUUGGAUUUAUUGAAGACUAACUACUGCGAAAGCAUUUGCCAAGGAUGUUUUCAUUAAUCAAGAACGAAAGUUAGGGGAUCGAAGACGAUCAGAUACCGUCGUAGUCUUAACCAUAAACUAUGCCGACUAGGGAUCGGAUGAUGUUAAUUUUUUAAUGACUCAUUCGGCGCCUUACG